UGAGUACGAGCUGCUACGGCAGCGAAGUGGGUGAUGUCAAGCUUCCAAGAAAAGCCCUAUACCCGUUAAGGCAUGACGGCCUGUACCCGAAACCGACACAGGUGGGGUGGUAGAGAAUACCGAGGGGCGCGAGAUAACUCUCUCUAAGGAACUCGGCAAAAUGGCCCCGUAACUUCGGGAGAAGGGGUGCCACCGCAAGGUGGUCGCAGUGAAGAGGCCCAGGCGACUGUUUACCAAAAACACAGGUCUCCGCUAAGUCGCAAGACGAUGUAUGGGGGCUGACGCCUGCCCAGUGCCGGAAGGUUAAGGAAGCUGGUCAGCGCAAGCGAAGCUAGCGACUGAAGCCCCGGUGAAUGGCGGCCGUAACUAUAACGGUCCUAAGGUAGCGAAAUUCCUUGUCGGGUAAGUUCCGACCCGCACGAAAGGCGUAACGAUCUGGGCGCUGUCUCGGAGAGAGGCUCGGCGAAAUAGAAUUGUCUGUGAAGAUGCGGACUACGUGCACCCGGACAGAAAGACCCUAUGAAGCUUUACUGUAGCUUGGUAUUGUGCCCGGGCUCUGAAUGCGCAGGAUAGGUGGGAGGCUUUGAUCCAUUGCUUGUGGGUGAUGGUGAGCCACUGGUGAGAUACCACUCUUUCAGAGCUAGGGUUCUAACGGUCACCCGUUAUCCGGGGACCGGACAGUAUCAGGUGGGCAGUUUGACUGGGGCGGUCGCCUCCUAAAAGGUAACGGAGGCGCGCAAGGGUUCCCUCAGGCUGGUUGGAAAUCAGCCGACGAGUGUAAAGGCAGAAGGGAGCUUGACUGUGAGACCUACAAGUCGAACAGGGACGAAAGUCGGCCUUAGUGAUCCGACGGUUCUGAGUGGAAGGGCCGUCGCUCAACGGAUAAAAGUUACUCUAAGGAUAACAGGCUGAUCUCCCCCAAGAGUUCACAUCGACGGGGAGGUUUGGCACCUCGAUGUCGGCUCAUCGCAACCUGGGGCUGAAGUCGGUCCCAAGGGUUGGGCUGUUCGCCCAUUAAAGCGGUACGCGAGCUGGGUUCAGAACGUCGUGAGACAGUUCGGUCCAUAUCCGGUGCACGCGCAGGAACAUUGAGAGGAUUUCUCCCUAGUACGAGAGGACCGGGAGGAACGCACCUCUGGUGUACCAGUUAUCGUGCCAACGGUAAACGCUGGGUAGCCAUGUGCGGAGCGGAUAACCGCUGAAAGCAUCUAAGUGGGAAGCCCACCUCAAGAUGAGUGUUCCCAUGGCAUAAGCCAGUAAGGUCACGGGAAGAACACCCGUUGAUAGGCUCUACGUGGAAGCGUGGCAACACGUGAAGCGGAGGAGUACUAAUAGACCGAGGGCUUG
This 1347-nucleotide ribosomal RNA is filed under the name metagenome. RNAcentral's name for it is "bacterial LSU rRNA". It matches the Rfam family "Bacterial large subunit ribosomal RNA", at positions 1564 to 2925 of the family's 2925-position model. The record is from RNAcentral.